Molecule: long non-coding RNA, 689 nt
Filed under: Pan troglodytes (chimpanzee)
Lineage: Eukaryota; Metazoa; Chordata; Mammalia; Primates; Hominidae
Description: lincRNA
Source: RNAcentral
GGCCAGAGAAACUGUUCUCAAGAGUGUGAAUUAGGUGGCAGCUACUAUUUUAUGGUAGCUCGCUAUCCACUUUGUAAGAGUCUCCGAGAGCAGAGGGAGCACAUCCCCUGACACCUCGCACAUGGCAGUUGCUUCAUCAGUGCUGGUUGUGCUCCUGAGAACUCAGCAUGGAGAGAGGCCUGGUCCCCGCUCCCCUGCUCCCAAUUGCUCUGUGACUCAUUCUCACGGCUUGCCCUUCAGGUUCUGGUUCUUGAAUUUCUCCUGCUCCCUCCCACUCCCAGGCCUUUGCCAUGUCUCCCCUGUGCCUGGAACACUUUUUGAUGCAGGUCACCUCCAGGACUCUGCCACUUUCAAGUUGAGUGUUCCAGGUAGGUCACUGAACCCCUCUGAGUUUCAGUGUCUUUAUCUGUAAAGAUAAAAACUAGACAUAACCUUUGGCUGACUGGGAGAUUUGGGAUUGGAUAAGACAAGUACUGAGUCCAAGGCCUGGCUCUGAGUCCCUGCCCCAGGGACAGCAGCUCCUGUGAUUUUGGUUCAUCAUGGUAGGUCCCUCCUUCUCUCUCUGUUCUUGGGAACUGCCACCAUCCUUUCUGUUCUUUAACCUGCUUCUCCGCCAAUAAAGGCAGAGUGGAACACUCUCUUCCUGGCUCCUAUUUCCUCGCUGCCUCCAAAGACAAGCCUGUCACCUC